ACGCUGGCGGCGUGCCUAAUACAUGCAAGUCGAACGGUCUUUUCUAUGGAAGCUUGCUUCCACUGAGAAGAUAGUGGCGAACGGGUGAGUAACACGUGGGUAACCUGCCCAUAAGAGGGGGGAUAACAUCCGGAAACGGGUGCUAAUACCGCAUAGUUUUCUUGAUUGCAUGAUUGAGAAAGGAAAGACGGCCUUUGUGCUGUCGCUUAUGGAUGGACCCGCGGCGUAUUAGUUAGUUGGUGAGGUAACGGCUCACCAAGACGAUGAUACGUAGCCGACCUGAGAGGGUGAUCGGCCACAUUGGGACUGAGACACGGCCCAAACUCCUACGGGAGGCAGCAGUAGGGAAUCUUCCGCAAUGGACGAAAGUCUGACGGAGCAACGCCGCGUGAGUGAAAGAAGGUUUUCGGAUCGUAAAACUCUGUUGUCAGAGAAGAACAAGUUGGAGAGUAACUGCUCCAGCCUUGACGGUAUCUGACCAGAAAGCCACGGCUAACUACGUGCCAGCCGCCGC
This 514-nucleotide ribosomal RNA is filed under the name uncultured bacterium. RNAcentral describes it as "bacterial SSU rRNA". It matches the Rfam family "Bacterial small subunit ribosomal RNA", at positions 33 to 518 of the family's 1533-position model. The record is from RNAcentral.